GGUGACCUGCCACAUAAAUACAGAGACAUCAGAGAACUGCUUGUCCAAGACAGGUACCCAGAGAACAAACAACAGAAAACAAACCAAGCAUCCCUCUGGCAGCUCCGAGUGGAAGAACUGCUAUUAAUACAAUACAACGGUUAUUUCCACACAAACUGGCUGGAAAAGUGCAAUUUCCUGUGGUACACAAUUUGAAAACUAAUGCUGGUUGUGAACAGUGAUGACGGCAGAGACCAACUUUGUCCCCUGUGAAGUUUCUUAGAUUGUGCCAGCAGGAAGCCUCCUCAGAAGGAGCAGGAAAACAGGAAAAUCACGAAGCGGAACCAUCCCUUUCAUCUGCUGGACAUCCACAGAGCAGAGAAUACAGCGUGAUCUGGACUUUCCAUAUUAGGUCCAACUGUAUGAAGUUGCCAAUAUUGGAUGGUUUUUGACCUACAAAGAUGGCAAUUCAUACUCUACAGCUAUCGAUUGACAGAGAACAAGUUACCAUUUACUGAUGUCUGACAUAUGUGAUCUCGCUAAGGCCGUGCAGAACCCUGCCAGGUAGGCAAAAUCAUCCCCAUGGUCAUAUGGGGAAACUGAGGCAUGCAGGUUCACUCAUGAGUCCAAGGCUGUCUGGCUUGUAAGCAGUAGAAGUAGGAUUUGAAUCCAGGUCUGUCUGGAUUCAAACUCUAGGGACAAAGUUCCUCCAUGCCAGAUGCAUUUCUACCUCCCAGAAGUGUCACCUCUCAUCAGAACAAGCUGAGAAAGGUGGACAGGUGCUCAACUGUGUGGGAAUCCUGUUUAAGAGGUGAGGCUGCUCCCCACCAGGGCAUGCGGCGAGAGCUCACUGAGAAAUAUCAUCACACAAGUGAACAUGCAGAAUUAAUGGCCUACUACUGAAUUAAUAAUCAGAUGAAUAUUAUUAGCAAUACAUGAGUACAGGAGAGUACACUGAGUGAGGAAAGAGUCUGGGUUUCUGUGAAGGCCACUCAAAGAGAAGAAAUCCUUGUCUACUCCAUGCAGGGAACAAACCAGUAACAUAUAGGGUUCAAUGUGUGUAAAAUCUUAGAAUCUGUUUUAUUUAUUUAUUUUGUUUUUUGAGUUAGGGUCUGGGUCUGGCUCUGUCUCCCAGGCUGAAAUGCAGAGAAACAAUCUCAGCUCACUGCAUCCUCUGCCUCCUGGGCUCAAACCAUCCUCCCACCUCAGCUUCUCAAGUAGCUAGGAUUACAGGCGUAUGCCACCAUGCCUGGCUAAUUUUUUUAAUUUUUAGUAGAGAUGGGGUUUUGCCAUAUGGCCCAGGCUGGUCUCAAACUUCUGAACUCAAGUGAUCCACCCGCCUCGACCUCCCAAAGUGCUGGGAUCAUGGGCGUAAGUCACUGUUUCCAGCCAGGAAUCUAUUUUAAAUGCACAACCAAUUUAGGAAAAAGAUUAUUAUUUUAUAUUGCCUCUUUCAUAUAGAGCAGUGCUUUUGUUUUUGUUUUUUUUGAGAUGGAGUCUUGCUUUGUCGCCCAGGCUGGAGUGCAGUGGCGUGAUCUUGGCUCACUGCAACCUCUGCCUACCAGGUUCAAGCGAUUCUCCUGCCUCAGCCUCCUUAGUAGCUGGGACUAUAGGUGCACACAACUAUGCCCAGCUAAUUUUUUGAUGUUUAGUACAGAUAGAGUUUCACCAUGUUGGCCAGACUGGUCUCAAACUCCUGACCUCAAGUGAUCUGCCUGCCUCAGCUCCCCAAAGUGCUGUGAUUAUAGGCGUGAGCCACCAUGCCUGGCCGGAGCAGUGAUUCUUAAAAGUGUGUGUGUGGGGGGUGUAUGUGUAUGGGUGUGCAAUUUUGUUUCCUAUGGGACAUUUGCAAAUGUGUGGAUACAUUUUUGGUUUACACAAUUUGCAGGGUGAGGAGGUUACUACUGGCCUUUAGUGGGUAGAGGCCAGGGUGCAAUAAGUAGGAUAGCUCCCGUAGUAAAGAACUACCAGCCUCAGCCUCAAAUGUGGCCCCUCAACUACCGUACUACUGCCGAAAUACUCCGCAAUAGAAAAUGGCAGUCUACAAUGAGAAUCAAAUCACAAAAUGGGGGCUGGUACAGUGGCUCACGCCUGCAAUCCCACCGAGGUGGGUGGAUCACCUGAACCAGGAAACCAACCUGGGCAACAAGCAAGACCCUGCCUCUACAAAAAAUACAAAAACCAGUCGGGUGCAGUGGCAUGCACCUGUGGUCCCAGCUACUUGGGAGGCUGAGGUGGGAGGAUCAAUUGAGCCUAGGAAGUCGAGAUUGCAGUGAGCUAUGAUCAUGUCACUGCACUCCAGCCUGCAAGACAGAGUGAGACUCUGUCUCUAAAACAUCAAAUCAAAUCAAAUCAAAUCACAAAAUUGAUCUAACUCCAGUUAAAACAGUUGAUGCUAAAAUGCUAUUUUCUUUUUCUUUUUUUCUUGAGACAGAGUCCCGCUCUAUCGCCAGGCUGGAGUGCAGUGGCGUGAUGCCGGCUCACUGCAACUUCCAUUUUCCAGUUUCAAGCAAUUCUCCUGCCUCAGCGUCCUGAGUACCUGGGACUGCAGGCACACACCACCACGCCUGGCUAAUUUUUUGUAUUUUUAGUAGAGACGGGGUUUCACCAUGUUGGCCAGGAUGGUCUCGAUCUCUUGACCUCGUGAUCCACCCACCUCAGCCUCCCAAAGUGCUGAGAUUACAGUCUUGAGCCACCGCGCCCUGCCAGUGCUCUUAUUUUCUAAAGCUGCAUGUUGCUAGCCCUCUGUCAAGAUCCUCAGCAAUAGGUACAACAGCUAAAAGAGAACCCUCAGCUGGAAGCUUGAAGUGGGCAUGGAGAGUGUGGCUCUGACACGUGGAGUCCCCCAGCAUUUGUGUAUUUCCCUUGGCUAAUGAGCAACACACGUGUUCAUUUUUUUCGGUUCCUCUGAAGCUAGCCAGCCAUGGUGAUACGAUGAUUCACACCUCUGCCUUACUCAGGAGUGUGCAUCAGUCUUACUUCCAGGCCACAUCUAUAUGGGGGAAGUCUAGGGGUCUUCCCAGCCCUACCUGACCUCCUCAUGAACUCAAGUAUUUUUAUUCAAAGCAUGACUGAAAAUGCAGAUAAUGUAAGAUUAUGCAGUGCGAUUCCAAGGUAGAGAGGCAAUUUUGCAUCUCAUAUAAUGCAAAAAUUAAAAUAAUUUUCCAGCUCUUCGUUGAAGACAAAGUUAUCUCUUUUUCAUGGUGACACAGGCUUGUGGAAGUUUCCCAACGAACAGAAGGGGCGUGUGCAGGUCUCCAGCUCCGAGCUGCCGGGGCUGAGCAGUGUGUAGUAGGAAGCACAUUCCUGCUCUGUCGGAAACAUCGCAAACCUCUCUGAGGAACUUGCUCAUGAAAUAAGACUUCCUGAAUUCGCUUCAGUUGGCCUAUGGCUGUCUACCAGAUGCUCUUCUUUAGCAAAGCCCGAUUUUAGAAGAUCUAACUAACCCAGAGCAUGGUGUGUGCUUAUGUGUGCUCCUGAAAGCUUCCUUUUUUCCCAAGGAUUCAUUCAUUCCAACUUCAAAUAGCCAGCACAUUAAAUUAAAAAAAAAAAAAAAAAACGAUUUGACUGACACCAAACUUUUCAGAAAUUAUUCUAAAGCCAGUAGGUAAUGUCUGCAAACGUUGGGUCUCGUUGAAUUAUUUAGAGACCUAAUACCUGGUGACAAAAUAAUCUGUACCACCCCCUGCACGGCAUGAGUUUACCUAUGUAACAAACCUGCACAUGUACCCCUGAACUUAAUAUGCAAGUUAAAGGGAAGGUGAAGCAGAAGAAAGGAAGAGCAAGACAGCAGCGGGGAAAAGGCGCCGGGGCGCGAAUCCCUGCCCUCCUCCCGCCAGCUCCAGCCCUCUCGGGAACUUCAGAAAAGCAAAUGAACAAACACUCCUGAAUUCAGAGAGGACUGGAGGUCGGGGUUCUAACCGCAGGACAGAGAGAAGAGGCUGGGAGCCUCCUGGAAGAUGGUGUCUCUGUGCAGUCACUUCACUGUGAUGCUGUGCAAAUGGUCCACUUGCCUCUUACGGUGCCUUCUAGCUCCUCUCACAAUAAUCUGUUCUUUUAUAUUGAACUGUCAUGAAAAUAAAAUAUCUAACAUAAAUGUCUAGGGGUUAUUUUAUUUAUUUUAUUGAGAUGGAGUUUUGCUCUGUCGCCCAGGUUGGAGUGCAAUGGUACGAUCUCAGCUCACUGCAACCUCUGCCUCCUGGGUUCAAGUGAUUCUCUUGUCUCAGCUUCCCAAGUGGAGGGGACUACAGGUGCGCACCACCAUGCCUGACUAGUUUUGUAUUUUUAGUAGAGACAGGGUUUUACCAUAUUGGUCAGGCUGGUCUCGAACUCCUGACCUCAAGUGAUCCACCUGCCUCAACCUCCCAAAAUGCGGAGAUUACAGGUGUGAGCCACCACACCCAACCAGAUCCAGGGAUUUAAAAGUAACACUGCAAGAGCCCUCAACUCACAGCCAGGGUUCCAUAGAUCAGCCGUGACACUGCAGAGUUAGAAUUCCAGAUUACAAGCAUCACUCCCCAUAACCUGUGUCCAUUCUGACUCCAUUCUGUCAGAAUUCUUACUACAAAGAAGAGAUGAGUUUUUCAAAGGACCAGAGAGUUAGGGUUUCACAAGAGAUGAAGCAAGCUGAUAUGACCUGAGAACGGUGAUGGUCCCCUGAGGACUCUGGGACCAAACUCGUCUGGUUGCAGCUUGAGUGUACACCUGCAGCCAGCCAGGUGCCGGAAAGUGUGCCCAGGUUCUCAGCCUGGCUGAGCAUCCUUCCAGAAAGAAAUGAGAUUUUGAUGUCUAAGAUGAAAAAUCUCUAGAGAAAACUCAAAAGGCAGUUUUCAGGAGAUGCCCACUUCUGAGCUGGGAUGGAAAGGUGUCUGGUGGUCUCGGGACCCGAUCUCCUGCGACCCAGGCUUGGGAGCAUUUCUCAGCAGACCUGAGCCCUUGUGCCUCUGCCAAGUUUGGUCCACUGAGUGUGCCUAUGUCUGGCUGAAGACGGCACCAGACGCCUUUUGUUUUGGAAGCCCUGAGCUGGCUGCUGGUAGGUCACCCAGCCCCACUCUUCCUGCAUCUGACCUUGGAAUGAGACUUCAGUGAGGGAAGGCAGGAGGAGGGGAAGUAACCGAUGAAAGCCAACAUCGAAAGUCUCAGACCCGACUCUAAGAGGCUUUCCAGGAAAUCCCCAGGAGAUGAAAGCCAGGCUUGUUCGGAAAGUUGGAGAUGUGGAAGGAUUCAGUGCCUGGAACCUGGCCUGUAAACGACUGCUUGGCAGUGGGCAGGCAGGAAGAGGAAUGUGGUAUGCUCCCAGUGUGGUCUGUCUGAAUUCUGCACUGAGUGUAAGGGGGUUUACCCUUGCCUCCCUCCCUGUUAAAGUCAUCAUUAACACCCACUGGCUGAGAAAACUGCCCCUAGGCUUCCUCUAGGCCCUGUCUCACUCACCGACAUCAGAAUCUCACUUCAGAAUCCUGCCCAUGUUCUAUCCCCCCAGCACAUAGUUUUCUUUUGUAUCUACAAAUGAAAAUGCCAUAGAAACCCAAGGGAGGGAGAGUGAUCUAAGAACUAUGUCAGAGGUCCUCAGCUCCAGGCCUUGGGCAGCUCAAUGACGCACCCCUGAUUUCUGAAUGUAACCACACAGCAGAGUCACCUGUUUGCAGCAUAUCAAAAACCAGAGUCUAUGUUUGCACUGAGUAUAAGGCGGUGCAAACAUGCUGGGGGCAAUUCUGGGAGGACUCAUAAGAAGCUGGUAAUAGCGCUUGGCUCUGGGGAGGGGAAGGGAUAUUUAGCAGUUUUAAAAAUCCACUUAUGUUCUUACAUUGUAAGAAUCACAUAUUAAGUUUCAAAAAAGCAGUUUUAAAAUGACACGUCUUGGCCGGAUGUGGUGGCUCACGCCUGUAAUCCAAGCACUUUGGAGGCCAAGGUGGGCGGAUCACCUGAGGUGGGGAGUUCAAGACCAGCCUGACCAACAUCAUGAAACCCCGUCUUUAUGGAAAAAAAAAAAAAAAAAAAGACACGUCUUAGAGAUCUACAAUGUCAUACAAAUAUAAAUCUACCUUUUAUUUUUUUGAGACAGAGUUUUGCUCUUGUUGCCCAGGCUGGAGUGCAAUGGCGCAAUCUCAGCUCACCACAACCUCUGCCUCCUGGGUUCAGGCAAUUCUCCUGCCUCAGCCUCCCGAGUAGCUGGGAUUACAGGCACGCACCACCGUGCCCAGCUAAUUUUUUGUAUUUUCAGUAGAGACAGGGUUUCACCAUGUUGACCAGGAUGGUCUCGAUCUCUUGACCUUGUGAUCCACCCGCCUCAGCCUCCCAAAAUGCUGGGAUUACAGGCGUGAGCCACCGCGCCUGGCCCUAAAUUUACCUUUUCUUUUCAUUGGCUAUAUUGUAUUCCCCAGUAUGGCUUUAUUUAACCCAGGGCUUCUCAUCCUUGGCAGUACUGACAUUUGGGGGCUGGAUAAUUCUUUUUUUUUUUUUUUUUUUUUUUUAGACGGAGUUUCGCUAUUGUUACCCAGGCUGGAGUGCAAUGGCACGAUCUCGGCUCACUGCAACCUCCGCCUCCUGGGUUCAGGCAAUUCUCCUGCCUCAGCCUCCCGAGUAGCUGGGAAAAGGCACGCGCCACCAUGCCCAGCUAAUUUUUGUAUUUUUAGUAGAGACGGGGUUUCACCAUGUUGACCAGGAUGGUCUCGAUCUCUUGACCUUGUGAUCCACCCGCCUCAGCCUCCCAAAGUGCUGGGGUUACAGCCGUGAGCCACCACACCCAGCCUCAAACUGUGUUUUUUAUAUGCUUCACACAUUUUUGUUAACAGCUGGAUAUGAUGUACAGUAAAAGGAGCUCUGGUGAGUAGGCCUUUAGUGGUGUGGGAGAGAGGAAGCAUUCUGUAUUUCUGUUAUUAGGGCUCAGUUUUAGCAAGUCUGUGCCCCUGGGAUGUAAAUUUUGUAAGUGUUUUUAAGUACCCGUACCCGCCUUAGGUGAGAUAGGAUGUCUAGAAGGGGCUGGAGUUAGGUGUUUCCCUUCCAGCAGGUUGGUUUGGCUCUGAUAAAAUCCCAAUUGGUAAGGCUGUGGUAGAAUUGUUUCUCUUGAGGACAAGCUUUGUUAAAAACAGAGUGCUCUGGCAUAUUUCAAAAUGGUUACUUUCCCUCCCCCUGCCAGAAGCAUGAGAGAUCUUCAUGGUGAGACCUUCACUCUGAACCAGGGCCUGAGUGUGAUGUAGAGAUUCAGGUUCCAGAUUCUUGGCUCGUGAUGGGGCCAGAACAUUCUCUGCUUGCUAUUCUAGCCAGGUCACGUUCUCUUCAUCCCUAACCAAUUUCUCACAACAGUUGCAGCCCAGACAGAUGGUCUGUACCACAAUCCUAUGACCAAGUCACCACUGUAUUUCACUGGCAAAGGUCAUCAAGAUCACAUUUAGAAAGACUGGGCUAGAAAGCUCCACUUGUCAAAAAUGUCACUGCAUCCCAAAGGGCAGGAAGCACCGCUGGCGUUUACUGUGUAGCAAACCUGGUGGCUUGUGCUUGUGUUGCGCUGAACUGAAAUCACAAAGUCCGGUUUGCAGCAAGCAAUGGUUUUUCUCUAGCUUGUUUCUCUUUCAGUGUCUGACACAAUUUCCUGGUUUCCUUUGUGACUAAAUUUCAAGAUAGCACAAACAGCAUUUUCUGCCGCUCACUCUCGUCAUCACGACAGGACACAUCUUUAGACAACCACGGGAGCAAAAGGACAGGGCUGUGGACGGUCAUCUCCACAAGAAAAAUCCCUGGAGGAGUGGGUCGUCAGAGAGGACCAAGGGCAGCUGACACAAUGUGGGGAUGGGGAAUGUGAGGACUGAACCCCAAAGCAAAGGGUAUGUGCUCUGGCUGUCAGCACGAAUCCCAGGGUGACCAGAAGAGCAAAAGCAACUGCUAACCCUGACUGUACGCGCACUGCACACCAAGCUCUGUGUGCCCAUCUUAUCUUCAAAAACUUACAAGGUAGGCACUAUUACUCUCCUCACUGUACAGAAAGGAAGUGAGACACAGAGAUAUCGAGUGAUUUGAGCUGAUCACACAACCAGUGCAUCUGGAGCCAAAGCUGGGACCCAGGCAGCCUCUUCAGGACUGCUGCCUCUUGCUGCCAUAGCAGUAAUGCCCCUCGCCCUAGAGGAUGUGGCUCCAAAGCGUGCCCCAGCCUCAUCACUGGUUAUUGACAUGUGGUCAGCAAAAGUGAACAGCAUAGAGAGAAAUGGGUGGGGAAGAUGUCUGGGGGGUCAGGGCAUUGGAUACGCCUCGGGGAGGUGCGGGGGAAGGAAGCACUAGCUGAGGCAGGCAGAAGGUGUGGAAGGCCAGGGGGUAAUUUGGGAAGCCCGUGGUGAGGAGGCAAGAGGGAGUGGCAAGCAUCUACUGAACACCUGCUAGGUAGCAGGCAGUGCAGUCCUGGUGCAUUUAACCCUACAACUGUGGCCAGGUGGGACUCUGCCCAAUUCACAGAUCUAAAGAAAGUGCCUGAGGACUAAGGCAGGUCACUUGCCCAAGGAAGAUCACCUAGUGGUGGAACCAAGAAGCAAAUCAAGGUCUGCCUGACUCCAAGGCUAUUCUGAGGGAGCAUAUCCCAGAGGGAGGCCUCAAGAAGCGAGCUUGGGCUGAAACAACGCAGUGGCUUGAGCUCGUACCCAACCCACCCAGGGUACGGGGUGUCACCUCCAAUGUCAGCAGUGUUCUCCAGGCUGCUCUCAAACUUCUGGCCUCAAGUGAUCUGUCCACCUCGGCCUCCCAAAGUGCUGGGAUCAUAGGCGUGAGGGACACCGCACCCCGCCUAAAAUUUUUCACUAAGUUCAUCAUGACAGUCCUAGGAGGUAAGUACCACUAUCAUCUUCUUUUUAUGUGGCAACUGAGAACAGGUCAAGUAACUUGCUCAAAUCACACAGCCAGGUUAAGAAGCCAGGCCUAGGACCCUGGCUGAAGCUCACAGUCCCUGCUCCUAGCCGCUGUGCUGCCUCACUGCAGGCUGCGCUUGCUUGUAUGCAGGGCCCCCGGGCCCAGCUUCUGGCCUCUUUUCAGUUGAGGGCCUAAAUUCUGUCUGGUCCCACCUGGGAGUGAGCAGUGACAGCCGAGUGACAGAAGCAAAGUCCAUAAUUUAACCGCCUGAUUCCCUCACACUGGCCAACAGGGCUCUGGGACUCCGACUUACAAGCGUCAGCCCAUUCUAAAUGGUGCUCCUGUCAUCUCUUGCUUAAAAAAUAAAAGUGUUAAUAUAAUUAUAGAACCAAUACUUGCUCAUUAUAGAAAUUAACUCAGGCAAGUGUCUAUUUAAGCAGACAAAAGUUACCCAUAAUGCUGCUUCUCAGAGAUGACCACCUCCUCUGGGGUGGUAUUUCUUUCCAUGUAUGUAUAUUUUAAGCACAUAUGUACUAUUUGCUCCUUUCUUUUUUUUUUAUUGAAAUGAAGUCUUGCUCUGCUGCCCAGGCUGGAGUGCAAUAGCACAAAUCUUGGCUCGCUGCAACCUCCGCCUCCUGGAUUCAAGUGAUUCUCCUGUCUCGGCCUCCCAAGUACCUGGGAUAUAGGCAUGCGCCACCAUACCGUCUAAUUUUUUUGUAUUUUGUAGAGACGAGGUUUCACCAUGUUGGCCAAACUGGUCUCAAACUCCUGAUCCAAGUGAUCUACCCGCCUUGGCCUCCCAAAGUGCUGGGAUUAUAGGCGUGAGCCACCGCCCCAGCCUUAUUUCCUCUUUUCAAAAAUGGGAUCAUACCGUACAUGUAGUUUUAUUCUCUGCCUUUUAAACAGGUAAAUAUUUUCUCAUCUGUAGACGCCACUCAUCUAAUCAUUCUGCUUCAGAGCCCUUAUCACCGCCCAGCAAGUUGUAUAUUUCACCUGUCUGCUUACCGUCUGUCACCCCGGAAUGGAAGUCCCAUGAAUCUGUUGUGUUCACUGUUGUUCUCCCAGUGCCAGAAGCCUUGAAUGGUAUAUUGGUUCUCUACUGGGACAAGUCCUAACGUGUACAAUAAAUCAUAUUGUUUGCUGAGAACGAUGGCAAGGAAAACCUAGCCAGUCCCACCCCAAGUGGAAAACUGCUCGGGGCAUUCUAAAAGCAGCAGCAAAACAGUAUAUGUAUAUCACACACCGGUUAAAACAAUUCUUUAAGCAGGAAUAUGUGACCCAGCCCCCAUGGCUCCCUCGUGGAGAAUACUUUCUAGUUUGUCCUUGAUCAGUGGUAAGCAGGCACCAGCUGCCUAGCCUGUUUAUCUUGGGUCUAUGAGAAAACACAGAGCACCUGUUUGUUAAUAAGACUCACCUGUUGAGAGAGUAACUAUAUGGGUCAGAAUCUGUCCAAGGCCCUCAGCCAGAAUGCCGUAAUCCCCUGGGGCUCUCAGCUUGGAAGGCUGCUGGGCCUUGGACAGUCCCACUUUGCUGUUCUUUUUGGGUGUCUGCCUUUUUUUUUUUUUUUUUUUUAAAGACAGUCUCACUCUGUCGCCAGACCCCAGGCUGGAGUGCAGUGGCACAAUCUCUCCCAGGUUCAAGCAAUUCUCCUGUCUCAACCUCCCAAGUAGCUGGGACUACAGGCGCACACCACCACGCCCAGCUAAUUUUUGUAUUUUAGUAGAGAUGGGGUUUCACCAUGUUGGCCAGGAUGGUCUCGAUCUCUUGGCCUCGUGAUCUGCCCUCCUCAGCCUCCCAAAGUGUUGGGAUUACAGGCAUAAGCCACCACGCCCGGCUGGCUGCUUCUUAAUGCCUUCAGCCCCAGCUGGGUGGGGGUCUCUAGGCUUAGCUGGUCUUGGUAGUUCUCCAGAGAUAUUUGUCGAAUAAAUGAAUGAAUAAACAAGCGCAAUUUUGUAUCCUUUUUCUGAGGGCCUUCUGUGGCUCAGGUACUGCCUAGAGGAGAGGUAAGUAAAGAAACACAAAACUGGCCAGGCGCGGUGGCUCACGCCUGUAAUCCCAGCACUUUGGGAGGCCAAGGCAGGUGGAUCAUAAGGUCAGGAGUUCGAGACCUGCCUGGUAAACAUGGCGAAACCUCGUCUCUACUAAAAAUACAAAAAUUAGCCAGACAUGGUGGCGGGCACCUGUAAUCCCAGAUACUCAGGAGGCUGAGGCAGGAGAAUCGCUUGAACCUGGGAGGAGUUUGUGGGGCAUGCGCAGAGAACUGCACUCCAGCCUGGGCAAGAGUGAGUCUCUCUGUCUCAAAAAAAACAAAACAAAGCACAAAACCUGGUGUGAAGUCUCAUCUCGAACAUGUCGGAUGAGAGCAGCACGUUCACACCUUCCUGUUCAUCCUGAAACAAGUAGGGGCUUUACACUCAAGCACAGGGCCAUCAGGAAAGCUGUGUAACACACACACACACACACACACACUCAGAUAUAGAUCAGGCCAGAGUGAUGGUUCAGCUGGAGACAGCAGCCUACUAAGCUCACAUCCCGUCAAGGCUGCCUCUAACCACUGCAUCAUCAACUGUCUGCACAGUCUGACCUUGUGUGCACACAGCAGAGACUACACGAUUCACUGCUGUGUCGCUAGUGCCCAGCACAUAAUAGGCUGUCAGUAAGUCAUACAGAACUGAAUCUGGGGUUGAAUUGAAUUCUCCACCGUAAAAAUGGCCAGCAGGCUGAGUACCGCCUCAUUUGCAUACAAAUUUCUCCACGGCCUCUCUGGGGUUUCUAACAGGGAGCAGCCCUGAACACGUGCUUUUACAAAGGCAUGAGCAGAAUGGGGACUGUCUGAGCAGGCACCGCCAUGACAAGCAAAUGCGAUGGCCAACAGUUGAAACACAUGCUGUAAUGUCCGCAGAUGAGAUGAAACAGAGCAGGAUCUGCCUCACAACAAUAUGGAGCAAACAAGUCCGAGGGAUCUUUUAGGGGGUGAUAGAAAUAUCAAAAAUUGGAUUACGGUGAUGGCUGCACAGGUCUGUUUACCAAAAAUCACUGAACUGCACACACUUAAACAGAAUGAUGUGGCCGGGCAUGGUGGCUCACACCUGUAAUCCCAGCCCUUUGGGAGGCUGAGGCAGGAGGAUCAUGAGGUCAGGAGUUUGAGACCAGCCUGGCCAACAUCGUGAAACCCCUUCUCUACUAAAAUGACAAAAAAAUUAGCUGGGCAUAGUUGCAGGUGCCUGUAAUGCCAGCUACUUGGGAGGCUGAAUCAGGAAAAUCACUUGAACCCGGGAGGCAGAAGUUGCAGUGAGCUGAGAUUGCACCAUUGCACUCCAGCCUGGGCAACAGUAUGAGACUCUGCCUCAAAAAAAAAAAAAGCAACGACUUUUCUGAUAUUAAGUUUAUCUCAAAAAAGCUGUUGAACGAUAAUACAGCAGCGGAACCAUAGCUCCCCAAGGACUGACUGUGAGUUGGUGAUUGCUGCAGUCGGGUGACAGGGACACAAGUGUUCACUGUGCUAGUCUCUCUACUCUCGUGCAUGGCUGAAAUUUUCCAUUAAGGUUUUUAAAAAAUACACUGCUCCAGCCGGGCAUGAUGGCUCAUAACUGUAAUCCCAGCACUUUGGGAGGCCGAGGUGGGCAGAUCACUUGAUGUCAGGAAUUUGAGACCAGCCUAGUCAACAUGGUAAAAUCCCAUCUCCAUCAAAAAGUAAAAAUUAGCUGGGCAUGGUGGCACAUGCCUGUAGUCCCAGCUACUCAGGAGGCUGAGGUGGGAGGAUCACUUGAACCCAGGAGGUGGAGGUUGCAGUGAGCCAAGAUCAUGCCGCUGCACUCCAACCUGGGAGACAGAGUGAGACCCUGUCUCAAAAAAAAAAAAUACACUGCUCAAUAAGCUUAGAGAAAGAACUAAUAGGCAUUAAGACAAAAGAGCGGAGGAGGAAAAGGAUUCAGAUUUGCAGUCCUUGCUCUUCCCAUAAAGGAAUGAUAGAAAGUUGUGAAAUUAUUUUUAUUUUUAAAACUAUAAAAUAAUAGUUCUGUUUAAUAAGCAAUUUGAGCAGUGUUAUAUACAAUGGGGCUCCACCCAAGAGUAGAUGAUUUUUGAUUCCUUUCAAUAAACGGAAUAAAAGUGCAAUAGUUCACAUUCUGACCAGAGCCAGGCCAAACAGUGAGGCUGUAGGUUCACAAAAGUCACCAGUGCAAAUACCAGCACAGAGCCCUGCUGGAGCGUGUCUGAUGCAGUCAAGUGAAACUUGACUGGCGUCUGAGUGGGGACAGGUGGGCGGCUGUCACAGUUCUCAGGAGCAGGGUGGCUGAACAGAACUCAUCCCAGUCUCCACGAAGAACAGAAGACACCUUCCAGAGCGAUGAAGAUCAGCACUGACGGGGAAAACCACCAAGCUGCUUGGAUCCACUUGGCAGAGACAAGAGCCUGGCAUGGUGUAAUUUCACAAGCCAAACAAAGCCGUUACGUAAGCAGAAAAAGGACAAAAGGGCUCACACUAAGAUAAGACUGACUCCUUCCAGCCAGGAGUGGGACACUGAGGCCGCAGGGAGGACUUGGUGGCUGCACUCCAGCCACCUCUGGCAAUGGGGUUUGUUGCAAGGGGUGUGGGGAGCCCUCUCAGCACCUCUCAGGCAGGCUUUGGAGAGAGCUGCAGGGCCUUCCUCGCCUCUCAGGGUGUAGCCACAAGUGGGCAUCCUUCCCUCCUGCUCCUAUGUCCCUGCCAUGUGUUCGGGGACCCAGCAACUCUCCAAGGGGAGGACCCUACUUACCAGUCACUUCAUGGCCCUCAGACCCUCCGUGUGCCCAGGCUAUGGAUAAUGCAGUCUCUGCCCUAGCCAGCUUGACUCGGGUUUAGGUGAUGCCACAUACUGGUACAGCUUCCUCAGAAGAGGCUACGGGCAUGACAGACACGUAAGUGUUUGAUCUAAUGAGACUUCCUAUUCUAAACGCUACAGAGGUCUAAUAGGAAGUCCACACAAAAUGAGGCUCACAGGUCACGCCAGGAAAUAGCCCCAAACUCCCUUGUCCACGUCUGUUUCCACUUUCCCGUGCGUGACUCGUGUCCGAAUUGAAGUGGACUGCAGGUCAUUCUCCACCCUUUAACCUCCCCCUGCCAAACUCCUGCUUCUACAUCAGAUUCCAAUAGAACUUUCUGUGGUGAUGGAAAUGUUCUCUGCCUGUGCUGGCCAAUAUGGUAGCCUGUGGCCUCCUGUGACUACUGAGCCUUUAUCAUGGGCCAGUGUGAUUAAAGAACUGAAUUCUUAAUUUGAUUUUCAUUAAUCUAAAUUUAAAUAGCCUCCCGUAGCCCGCGGCUCUGGUAUUAUAUAGUUCUAGAUUCUCCAUGAAGCACUCUCUGCCCUCCUGGUCCCCACACUGAGGGCACCUCUCCCACUGACCCUUUCUCUAGCUCCUGACACAGCUCCUUCCAGGUCUCAGGCCCUUCAUGAGACGAAACUUAUUCAUAUCCAGGCAGGGUUUUCUCCGGGUCUCACAAAGCAGCCACUCAAUAAAAGAGCUCACUACGUGUUUGUCCUAUUCAGUGGGACCAGACCUUUGUUCCUACCUAGAUUAAGUGUUGGGCUUCUAGGAAUGGCUGCUCAGCUAGUCUGGGGAAGUCUGUAAACUUUCAUAGGUGUCAGCCAGGGAGCGGGCCCUCCAGCCAUGACCCGAGUUCAUUUCUACGGAAUCCCAGUUGUAUUUCCACUCAGUUCGAUGGGUGCCGUUUUCUAGCGGUGUGGCCUUAACUUGAUAGCAAGUCUCAGUUUCUUCACCCAUAUAACAAAAGUGCUAAUAUACUCUAUAAGGAAGUUAUGAGGAUAGAAUCAGCCAACACAUGUAAAGCGCUGUGCUUGACACAAAGUGUUGAUACAGUACAUUAUAAAGUAUACAAUAAGUAGUGAAAUUACUAACAUUUAAAGGUUGACAGUUGAGCUUUGGUCUAAAAGGCACCUCUGGGCUUAGCAUUAAAUUAUCAAAUAUCUUUAAAAAAUGCAUAUCCUUAGACCCAGUAACUUCACCUCUAAUAAUUUUGAAACACUCGUGCAUAUAGGCCAAGAUGUAUUUGUGAGAAUAGUCAUGACAGUGUUACAAAAGUGGAAAAAUGAGAAAACCUGUAGCUAUCAAAUAGUCCCUGUGAAUCAGAUCAAUUAUAGUUAUAGUUCAGCCUUAUGACACAAGGCUUUGUAGUCAUUAACAAAAAUGUUCCCCUAGCAAAGAAAAAAAAUCAGGCAUCAAAGUGGUAACUCCACCCCUUCCAUCACCCUAAUAAAGCCACAGGUAAUAUAUUAAAAAAUGCUCUAGACAGAAUGCUAAUGGCGACUCUUGAGGGGUCAUGGCAUUAUGGGUGAUUAUUUCCCCUUCGUGCUUUUUCUGUAUUUUUAAAAAUUUUGUAUUAAAAAUAUCACUACUUUUGUAAUUAUGAAAAAUGUAGCUUUAAAUAAUCUUUCAUAACCUGGGAAAAUAUUCAUGACAAAUAUUAAAAAGGUUAAGAAAGACUCAUGGUGUGAAAAUACAACCACUGAGAGGAAAAUGGAAGCCACAUGCCUGGUGCAUUAACUGUGGUUAGCACUGGUUUUAACUCAGGCUUUUAGAUUAGGGGAGUGGAUGUUCUAGUUUGCUCAGGCAAAUCCCAGUUUUUUCUUUUUUUGUUGUUGUUUUUGAGAUGGAGUUUUGACCUUGUCACCCAGGCUGCAGUGCAAUGGCAUGAUCUCAGCUCACUGCAACCUCCUCCCAGGUUCAAGCGAUUCUCCUGCCUCCGCCUCCCAAGUAGCUGGGAUUACAGGUGUGCACCGCCACGCCUGGUUAAUUUCAUAUGUUUAGUAGAGAUGGGGUUUCUCCACGUUGGUCGGGCUGGUCUCGAACUCCUGACCUCAGGUGAUCCACCUGCCUUGGCCUCCUGAAGUGCUGGGAUUACAGGUGUGAGCCAACACGCCAGGCCAAAUCCGUUUUACACUUGUGACCAGCUGGCCAAAGGGUCUCCUUUCCUGCUCGAAAGUAUCCUGCUAAAUUACACAGCCAACCUCAUUAAGAGGAGUUCUAAUUUUCUCCUUUGUGUUUUUCUAGACUUCUAAAUUCUAGUGAUCUCAAUGUGUUUCCUUAAUUCCAAUUUGUACCUUUUUCUUCGACAUUUUAAUGUUGAGAUUGGAAUGUACUAUACAACAGAUUGGCACUCUUCCCCCACCAACCGAGCAAGUUAUAAAAAUCAAUGGUCAUAAGGUUGGUGGGACCUUAGAAUUAAGGAAAUGUAGCUUGUUAAUUUACAAAUGGGAAAAAUAUAGAAAAUACAUCAAAUUCUCUUUUUUUCCCCCUGGAAAGUCAAGAUUCUAAGACCUGGAGAACUGGAUAAAAUCAGACAGAUGAAAUCCCUAUACCCAGCUGGCUCUUACAGGGUUAGGAGCUGAUGUUUCCUGCAGGUUCUCUGAUUGUCAAUAACAAAAUAAAAGGAUGUGAUAGCCAAGAAAUCUUCUCCAGUACCGGCAGGAGCGGUGCAGGAUCUAUGGCCCUUCCUGAGACGUAAGCUUUUUUAUAAUGAGCUGAAAUAAUACCAGUAUUGAUAAUUACCUUCAUAAAUGGCUAAUGCUCAUUAGGCACUUAUCAUGUGCCAGGCAUAGGGCUGUCAAAUUAUUAGACAACCCUAUUAUUUCCCUCACUCUACAGAUGAGGAAACUGAGGCACAGAGAGGCACCUGCUCUAGGCCAUAGAGCUGUCUGCACAGAGUUGGGAUUCAGUCCUUUUUAUCUGACUCCAAAGUCUGUUUUUGUUUUGCUUUUCUGAAUUGAGAUGGAGUCUCACACUGUUGCCAGCGCUGGAGGGCAAUGGCACAAUCUCGGCUCAUUGCAACCUCUGCCUCCCAGGUUCAUGUGAUUAUCCUGCCUCAGCCGCCCGAGUAGCUGGUAUUACAGGCACACACCACCACACCCCAGCUAAUUUUUUUUUUUUUUUUUUGGUAUUUUUUAUAGUAGAGACAGGGUUUCACUAUAUGGGCCAGACUGGUCUUGGACUUCAGACCUCGUGAUCCACCUGUCUUGGCCUCCCAAAGUGCUAGGAUUACAGGCGUGAGCCACCACGCCCGGCCGAGUCUGCUUUUUAACCACUGACACUGCUUCCUGCCUCUUCUUUUUUUUUUUUUUUUUGAGACGGAGUUUCACUCUUGUUACCCAGGCUGGAGUGCAAUGGUGCGAUCUCGGCUCACCGCAACCUCCGCCUCCUGGGUUCAGGCAAUUCUCCUGCCUCAGCCUCCUGAGUAGCUGGGAUUACAGGCACGUGCCACCAUGCCCAGGUAAUUUUUUGUAUUUUUAGUAGAGACGGGGUUUCACUAUGUUGACCAGGAUGGUCUCAAUCUCUUGAGCUCGUGAUCCACCCGCCUCAGCCUCCCAAAGUGCUGGGAUUACAGGCGUGAGCCACUGCGCCCAGCCCGCUUCCUGCCUCUUCAAUGUUUUUUCUCCGCGUUGCGCCUCCGGCCUCUGUUUUCAGCAAAGCUGUAAUUAUAAAGGUUUCCCAGACCAGGACAGUGGCUCAUGCCUAUAAUCCCCACACUUUGGGAAGCUGAGGUGGGCGGAUCUCUUGAGCUCAGGAGUUCGAGACCAGCCUGGGCAACAUGGCAAAACCCCUUCUCUACAAAAAGUUGCAAAGUUAGGUGGGUGCAGUGGCCCACACCUGUGAUCCAGCUACUCGGAAGGCUGAGACUGGGAGGAUUGCUUGAGGUCUGGGAGGUUGGGGCUGCAGUGAGCCAUGAUCAUGCCACUGCACUCCACUCUGGAUGACAGAGUGAGACUGUUUUUAAAAAAAAAGAAAGAAAAAACCUUUCCCCAAGGGCUCAGUGGUCUGGGAGAGAGUGCAAGAAGCUAAAACAAGAUCUCUGCAACCAGAUAUUCUGAUUCCUUUGGCCUUGGUAAUGGGGUAUAAAAGAACACCAAAUACUGCAUUAAUGUCCUGUGGCUGUGUUUUCCAAAAACUGCCACAGCGACACGUCUAGUCUCAUAUGCUCUUGCAGAACCUUGCCACUCCCUACCAAGAAGCAGAGUCUGUUUCCUCUCCUGCUGAAGCUGGGCAGGGCUUGGUGGCCACCUGUAAAGUGAUGGAAGUGACACAGCGUGACCUGCAAGGUGAGGUCGCAGCCUAUGAUAGCAGUUCUUCCUGAUCCACACUUUCAGGCUGCUCAUCCUAGGAACCCUGGUACCAUGUUACGAGAGGCUUAGACCACUGGAGAGGCCGUGUGUAGCUGUCAUGGCCCAUCAGGCCCCCAGGCAGCAUCAACUGCAACAUGAGACCAUAAGCCUUCAGAUGACUCUGGCCCCAGCUUUCCAGUCUUCCCAGCUGAGGCCUCAGGCUUUGAGGAGUAGAGACAAGCCUUCACUGCGCCCUGCCUGAAUUCCUGACCUGCAGAAGUGGUGAGAGUAAGUGGUUGUUUUACACCACCACAUUUCUGAGUGAUCUGUUAACGGAACAAGCACUUAAACAGAAAAAGGUCCUAUCUGGCCUCUAUUGAAAGUAACAUAUGCAUUGUUCUGGGUUUCAUGUUUUGAUUCUUUGCGCGGGGAAGUUGAAAUCUAUCCAGAGGACAGUGACAAGCACAGGUGUAACAGAGACACCAUCUGUGACCUGCACCUGGGGGUCUGGCUUCAAAAUGUGUCCUCAGCAGAUACUCUUGGGAUGGCUCAGCUAAAAGGCAGCUGUCACCUCUGAGAAGCUUGUUACUGGGUAUUAUACAAUGAAAGCACCCUGGUGGCCAAACCUUGAGAAUGGCUUGAUAAACGCCCACCUCCAUACCACAUCACUGGAGUUCUGUUCGUUCUGAAUCCUCUGCAGACUAGAGGCUCUAACGGAGCUAAGUGCCAGGCCUGGAGCCUCCACGCUCUGCUUCAGGUCAAUGAAAAAUGCCAGUGACAGAGGCACUUGUGAGAGCCCUUGGUUUUGGUUUUCCAGUAGCCACAGAAACCAGGAAGGAGCAGUAGGAAGACACAGAACUGCCUCCACCCUCCUCUUGGCCCCUACCCCGAGCAGCUUGUAAGAAUCAUUUACUUAUGUUUCCUGUAAGACUCCAUUUGAACAGAGUUCUACCAGCAAAUACAUCUACAUAUUGAUUUUUCUUAAAAUGAAAUGCGGCCACUCUCAGUGCCACAGCAGAGGCAGGUCCUUUUGAGUUUGGUGUGCUCAUACCACCCACCGUGUGCUUUGUGACAAUGCAUCUGAUCACUUUUCUCUACCCAAGCUACUAUCCUGCUGGCCUCAGAAGGAUGAGAGGCAUGUGGACAGUGCUGCCAGUGCAGUUACCCCAGCUGAAGCCAGCCGCCAACCCCCAGCCGCAGAAGCAAGCCUGAUUUAUAACGAGCAGAGCCAUCCCCAGCUGACCUCAGUCACGUGAGUAAUGCACUCUUCCUGUGUAUGCCCCGAGGCUUCGUGUCUACAGUUAUGAUGGCUGGACUUAGAUAGUUCAACUUAACGAUUUCUCAACGUUACAAUGGUGUGGAGUGAAUAUGCAUUCAGUACAACAUCAAUAUAUGACUUGGUUAUUCAAUACUUUAUUACCAAAUAGGCUUUGUAUUAAAUGAUUUUGCCCAACCGUAGGCUCACGUAAAUGUUCUGGGCAUGUUUAAGGUGGCGAGGCUAAGCGAUAAUGUUUGGUAGAUUGACGGUAUUUAAUGCAUUUUUCACCUAACAGUACUUUUAACUUCAAUGGAUUUCUCAGGAGUAACCCCACCGUAAUAUCUGUAUUUGUUAUCCAGCAAAAGCUAACUGAUAGAUUUGUUUUCAGAAUUUUCCUGGUUUCCCUGUCAGGCAACCCCAGCUUUCAAAAAGGGAAGGAGAAUGAAGUUACUUAUUCAAGGAUUAUUUACUCAGGGCUAAACACACAUCCAGCUCUGUGCUUGGCAUUAGGCAUGAGACUGGCUGCCAUUUUGUCAAAGAGAAUCCUAAGGAACCUUGACACAGAAGAAAUAGUUCUGCUGCUGAGCUCUUUGGCCACUAUCCUGGGGAAAUAAGUAUUUGGAGAAGCUGUGGGGCCAGUCCCAGCAGGAGGCCUGGCACCCCGCCCUGGGUACAUGCCAGAAGUGAGUGCCUGUUGAGCUUCAAAGUGUGGGUGUAGGCCGCCUUGAUUAAAACCCCAGGCAGCACAAUGCCAAAUAAGUGCCAGCUUGGGAAGAAGAAAUUAGUCUGGGAUAAAAAAUGACAAAGCAAGAAUACAAAAGCCAUUAAGGGAUUUGUAAGCACGUGUCACGGAUGAAGAAUCACUAUUGUUGAGAAUGAGCGAUCAUUGCGUGGUGCCCGUGGGGCCUGGGGAAGGAAGUCUGAGUGUUCGCCAAAGGCUGGCGGUCCAUCAGAGGAAGGAAGGCCGAACAGGAGCAAUGAAGCACAGCUAGUAUAACCCCACAAGUCGGAUGGUCACUCAGCAUAGACAGAACGGGCCAGUUCACCCCGCUGGGCCUCAGUUUCCUCAUCUUUGGCAUGGGGGAUAAUAAUCAAAUGUACCACAAAGAGUUAAUACAAGGAUUAAAUGAACCAACUCAGGCAAAAUAUUUAGAACAGUCUGGUAUGGCUCCUGUAAAUGCUCAACAAAUGUUGGCUUUCUUUUUUUUUUUUUUGAGAUAGAGUUUUGCUCUUGUUGCCCAGGCUAGAGUGCAGUGGCACGAUCUCAGGUCAUUGCAAACUCUGCCUCUGGGUUCAAGCAAUUCUCCUGCCUCAGCCUCCCAAAUAGCCGGAAUUACAGGCGCCUGCUACCAUGCCUGGCUAAUUUUCAUAUUUUUAGUAGAGACAGCGUUUCACCAUGUUUGCCAGGCUGGUCUCGAACUCCUGAUCUUGUGAUCCAUCUACCUCGGCUUCCCAAAGUGCUGGGAUUACAGGCAUGAGCCACUGCGCCCGGCCAGAUGUUAGGUAUUAAAACUCCUUUUAGAAGUUUGUUGGGAGGAACAAAUGGGCUAAUGUUUAAGGUCUUGGCACAAAGUAGCACAAAAAUGAUGGUUCCUCUAAGUGCAGCGUGUGAUCACCAGGAGAUGAGCACGACAUGAAGACAGCUCAGACAUGGACCCUGUCCUAAAGGGUAAGGAGCUCAAGAUCCAGACACAAGUAACAGUGACAAAAUGGGAUAAAUGCCACCAGAGAGCUACGAUUUGUGAGGGAUGAUGCCGGGAGAAAGGAGAGGUCAGGCACGUCCCCUAUGAAGAGUACAUGUGGCCCUGGUGUGGCUUCCACCAGAGGAUUCCAACACACAGAAAAGGGGAAGCGGAGUCUUCUGGCAGUGGGAACACAGCCACAGAAGGCAUGGGGCGGGAAAGCACAAGGGCAUAUUUGGGAACAAGAGGGUUUUUGUCCAUGUUAGGCAAACAGCACAGAUAUGUGAAGAGGAGUGACGGGAAGCAAAGCUGGCAGGAUGCAGGGGGCAUCAGAUUCCAAGCUGGGGAAGUAGAUGUGCCAGAUGGGCAAUGGGGAGCCAGUGAAGGUUAUUAAGCAGAGUAGAGCCACAGCAGAACUGUUCUUAAGGAAAAUGAAUAUAAUAGCAGGUGGACUGGAGAUGGGAGAGAAGAGACACAGAAGUCAGUUUGCAGGAGGCUAUGUCAGUUCCACCAAGGCAAAAAGGAGAAACGGAUAAAGCCAAAAGAACACCAGCCACAGAGAGAGGAAAGACAGGAUUCAGAAUCACCCACCCAGGACUAUGAAUAUGUGAGUAUUUCAGAAGAAAGGACCCAAAGUGGACUGAGUCAUUAACAGGCUUACAAAGAAGCCCCAGGCUAUCAAAAACCCUCCAAAAAAUAUUAGCAUAUCUUAUCUAAUAUAUAUAAGAAGUAGAAAUGCUUGGGAGGCCAAGGCAGGUGGAUCACGAGGUCAAGAGAUCAAGACCAUCCUGGCCAACAUGGUGAAACCCCGUCUCUACUAAAAGUACACAAAACUAGGUGGGCAUGGUGGUUGUCCCAGCUAUGUGGGAGGCUGAGGCAGGAGAAUUGCUUGAAACCAGAAAACGGAAGUUGCAGUGAGCCAGGAUCACGCCACUGCACUCUAGCCUGGCGAUAGAGCAAGACUCUGUCUCAAAAAAAAAAAAAAAAAAAAGAAGUAGAAAUGCACCACAGCUAAGGUUUAUCACAGGAAUGCAUGACUGGCUCAAUAUUUCCAAACAUUUCAAAUGUAUAUGCCUUAUGAACAGACAAAACAAGAAAAGGCAUAUAGUCAUAUCAAUUGAGGCAGAAAAGGCCUUUGACAAAAUUCAGUAUCCAGUCAUGACAAAAGAAAAAACUUUUAGCAAGGAUAGGAGGGAAUUUCCUUAACUGAGAAAGCGCAUUUACAAAACAGCCCACAGCUAACAUCAUUCUUGGUGAGACACUGCACACUUUCUCCCUGAUAUAGGGAACAAGGAAAAGAUGUCUUUUCUCACAUUCUUAUACUGCUGGAAGUUGCAAUAAGGUAAGAAAAAGAAAUAAAGGCAUAUGGAUUGAAAAGGAAGAAACAAAAACUACUUCACUGGUAGACAGCAUGAUCUAUGUAGAAAAUCUCAUAGAAUCUACUAAAAACCUGCUUAGAACUAAUAAAUAACUUUAGUAAUGUCAUGGAAUACAAAAUCAAUUCACAAAAAUCAACUGCAUUUCAAUAUCUUAGCAAUGAACAACUGAAGUUAUUAAAAACAAAGGAGAGGACUAUUUACAAUAGCAGCAAAAAGGGAAAUAUUUGUUUGGUAUAAAUCUAACCUUACUACCGUAUGAUGAAAACGAUAGAACACUGGGGAAAGAAAGAAGACCUAAAUAAUUGGAGGGGCUCACCAUGUUCAUGGAUUGAACAACAUGCUAUUGUUAAUGAGCCAGUUCUCCCCAAACGGAUAUGCAGGUUCAGCACAAUUUCCAUCCAGUCCCAGCGACAGGCUUUAUUACUAUUAUUUUUGUAAUAUUGGAAAACUGAUUCUACAAUUCAUAUGAAAAGGGAAAGGAAUUAGAAUAACCAAAACAAUUUUUCAAAAGAACACCAUCCGAUUUCAAGAUUUACCAUUAAGUUACAGUAAUCAAGACGGCGUGGAACAGUAAUCAAGAUCAAUGCAGCAAAACAGAGUCCAGAAAUAGACCAAAACACAGGAACAUAAUCAGCUGGUCUUUAAGAGAAGUAUAGGCCUGGCGUAGUGGCUCACACCUGUAAUCCAAGCAAGUUGGAGGCCAAGGCAGGCGGAUCACCUGGGUCGGGAGUUCAAGACCAGCCUGACCAACAUGAUGAAACCCCCGUCUUAAAAAAAAAAAAAGAGAGAGAGAGAGAGAGAAGUACAAAGGAAUUCAGUGGAGGCAUUGUCAACAAGUAGUGCUAGAACAACUCAAUAUUCACAUAUAAAACAAUGACCCUUGGCCCAACUUAGCCUCUUCUGCAAAAAUUAAUUGAAAAUGGAUCACAGACCUAAAAUAUAAAACUAUAAAACUUCUGGAAGGAAACAUACAAGAAAAUCUUUGUGAAAAAAUGUGAAUAGAUACUUCACCAAAGUGACUAUAUGGAUGGCAAAUAAGCACAUGAAAAGAUGUUCAACAUUAUAGUCUUCAGGGAAAUGGAAAUUAAAACCACAAUAAGGACAGGUGCCUGUAAUCCCAGCACUUUGGGAGGCUGAGGCAGGUGGAUCUCGAGUCCAAGAGUUCUAGACCAGCCUGAGCUACAUAGAAACAAUCUCUACAAAAAAUACAAAGAUUAGCUAGGUGUGGUGUUGCAUGCCUGUGGUCCCAGCUACACAGGAGGCUGAGGUGGGAGGAUCGCUUGAACCCAGAAGGCAGAAGUUGCAGUGAGGUGAGAUCAUGCCACUGCACUACAGCCUGGGCAACAGAGUGAGACCCUGUCUAAAAAAACCCAACAAAACAAAAACAAACCACAGUAAGAUAUCACUACAUACCUAUUUGAAUAGCUAAAAUUAAACAAAAUCCAAACCAGAAAAUACUGAUAAUAUCAAAUGCUGGCAAGUGUGGGAAACAACUAGAACUCUCAUACAUUGCUGUAGGAAUGCAAAACAGUACAGCCACUGUAAAAAACAAUUUUGCAGUCUCUUAUACAUUUGAAUACAUACUUAACAUAGGACCCAGCAACUAUUGAUAGGUAUUUACUUAAGAGAAAUGGAAACUUACAUUUAUACACACAAGAAAAACAUGUAAGUCAAUGUUUAUAGCAACUUUAUUCAUGAUUGCCAAAACCUGGAAACAGAUGUCCUUCAACUGGUAAGUGAAUAAAAGAGACACAUAUCUAUAUAAUGGAACACUACUCAGUCAUAGAAUAUUUUUAUUAUCCAUGUGAUAACAUGGAUUAAUUUAAACCCCUUUUCCUAAGUGAAAGAUGCCAUUCCCAAAGCUGCAUAUUAUGUGAUUCUAUGUAUAUGACAUUCUGGAAACAGAAAAACUUUAGGGAUGGAAAACAGAUCAGUGGUUGCCAGGAGUUACAAGGUGGGGAAAGGGUUGACUACAAAGGGGCCACAUGAGGGAACUGUAGGCUGAUGGAACUGUUCUGUACCCACUGUGGUGAUGGCUAUAUGACGAUGCAUUUGUCAAAGGCCACAGAAGGGCUCUAAGUGUUCUGAAAUUGAUUGUGGUGGACACUCUGUACCAUCAGGCCACAUUCUUUAGGCCACUAAAGACUACCGAAUUGUCACUUUGAAUAGAUGAUUUCUAUAGUAUGUGAAUUCUAUCUCAAUAAAGCUCUUAUUUUAAAAACUUAAAAGAAAAAGACACCUGCUGAGAGAUGGCACAAUGACGCUGCCGUGGAAUGAGAGUUAAGAUUGCGGAGGAGAGAUGAAAUUCAGAGGUCCCAGCCCUUAGUACACUCUAAAAAGUUCACUUCAUUUCCAUAGAACUUUUUCAGAACUCUGACUUUCUCUGCCCUGGAAUUUCUCGAUACUAAGAGAAAAACCCUCCAGCAAUGCCACAGCCCCCAACACUCACAGCUCCUCCGCACCAGAGCCCAGGCUUUUCUGAGCUUGCCCAGCAAUUCAUCUUCUUACCAAGUACAUAUAUGCAUGUAUAUAUCAUGAUUAGAACAACGCUGAUCUCAAAACGUUUCCCCUACUUCACAAGAGAAAACUGAGACCAAGAGAGGGGAUGCGAUUUACCCAGAUUACCCAUCUCGUGGGCAGCAGAGCCAAGAGCCGACCCAAUGCUCCUUUUUCAUCACCUUGAUGUCUACCUGGUUGGUAUGAUAUGCUCUACAGACGACGGUAAAUGCAAAAUGAAAUGCCUGAAAUACCUUGACCUAAGACCAGGUGGGCUCUCUCCUCAUGUGGACACAGACCUGGGUCAAUCUAAUAUUCUUAUCAAGGGGACUAGCAUAGAUAUGUAGAGGCAAGUUGGAGAUGUUCAAAGGGAAAAAGGAAAUGAAGACCUUGUGGAAAAUAUUAUAAAUAUGGAAUAGCGAGAACAGACCCAGAUGACUUCUGGGGAAAAGAUGAUUAAAGUUCUCACUAGACUACUGAAGGGAGGUAAUAAAAUAAUAACAGUCACUCAGAGCUCCAGUACUUCUACACAGUAACCCUGAGCAGGUAAUAUUAUCACCCCCUUCUCACAGAUGAGGGAACUGAGGCACAGAGAGGGCAGGUGACUUAUCCAAGAUCUCACUGAGGCAGCAGGAAUCCAGCAGUUCCACUGCCUCAGUUUCCCUCCCUUAUCAGGAGAUGAAGAGCAGCAUCAAAGAAAGUGCUGAAUCCCAACAGGAGGGCCUACUGGAAAGGCAGCAUGACAAUGGAAGAUGACCUGCAGGUGUCACAAAGCUGCUGAUGGUCUCAGGUCCCUGCUGGCUUACUUGACACAAGGCAAGGGAAGUUAGGAAGGUGGCCUGUGACCUGCAUGGCAGUGAGAAAGUCACUACUUGACAUUCUCAUCCUUUAGAGAGUGUGUCCACAAGGGGAUGUGUUAAAAUGCAGGUCCCUGGGCCCCUCAACCAGAGAUUUUAAUCGAGUAGGUCUGAGCUGGGACCCAGGAAUCUGCAUUUUGAACAGGUUUAUUUCCACCCCCAGCCAAAGUACUCUGGCUGGUCCCUGGCUAGACUGUGGACAACCUUGAUCUCUGCAGAAGGGAGGCAAGAUAAUACAGAUUAAGAGCUUGGCUUUGGAGUCAAAGGAUUCCUGGGUCAAAUUCCCAUUGCCUCUUAGCUGUGUGACCUGGAAAGGCUAUGUAACCUCCCAGGGCCUGUUUUCCCCCUGGAAAGUGGGGGUGACAAAUAGUACCCCGCUUAGAGAGUUAGCUCUUCUAAUACCUGAAAAGCAUUAAGCCAGCUCCUGGCAUGCAUCACAUGCUCUGCCCACAAUAGCUAAAAGCAAAAGUAAAACCCUCAUUGGGUCCAUGCAGCACUUCUGUUGUUGUAAACAACCUGCAGGCUCCGGAUCAUAACAUUCUUGGGCUAUGAUUUCCUCUUCCUUAACUGCAUUUUCUGGAAGGAAUUCUUCCUGUGUCUGAAUCAGAAACUCAACAGAAGCCACACUUCCUCAGCUUCCCUUUUCCUCCCACGAAGCUUCGGAGGUGGUUUCUUCCCCUCUCCCCUUGCCCAGGGGAUGGAGAUUGACAUUGCCUUAAAGUGGACACCUGUUCAGGGGCAGAUGGUCUGUGCAAUUUGAAUACUUAUUACCUUGGUAAUUUAUACCUCACCUCUUCCUAAGGUAAUGAGGCAAUAAAAGGAGACUACUAAGAAAUGUCAAAGAUGCGGUGAAGAGCAGAGACGUGCAGCAAACAGGAGCUGUGAAUGCAGUGCUGAAAUAUCCCUGUGAAGAGAGGCAAAGAAGGUGCACACUUUCAAAGUCAAUGGAAAGUGAAGAAUAAAACUGAACCAAGAUUUAGGUCUGUCCUUUGGGUCUGGGGUGGUGGAAUUCUCUGGAAAUAGACUCUGAGGAAGAGAUCUGCAUGAAAAAGUUAAUUGGGGAGUGCUCUCCAGGAGAUAACAGUGGGAGAUUAAGCGAGGCCAGGUGGAGGGAGGAUUUGAGCAGCCAAAACAAAGACCUUGGCUGAUCCUCCCAGGAGCUCUGAAGCUAGGACUGCUCUUCAGAGUCUUCUCUGUUGAAUCAAGGAGAGCAGCCUUUCAUGACUCUCCAUCGACCACGGGAUACAGGCUGCCCCCAGGGAGAGGGCAGGCAUCAUCUUGAGUGAGGUGAGUCCCUUUGGUGGACAUCAAUUUGUGGCGAGGGACUCAGCAGGCCACAUUCUUGGCGGGGGUCGGGGGGGGCGCUGAAUGCCUCAGCAAUAAAGGGGAUAUUGGGCACACACCAGGAUGUCCACUGCAAGGUUUUAAGUGGGUUCUUUCCCCCAAAAAAGUAGUUAAAAAAGAAUAGAAAAAUCUUGGCCCAAACUUGAAUAGCCACAUAGGAAAAAGCUGCCCACUGACUAGGAACCCUCAUGCUUGGGUCCCUAAUUGGGGAGGGAGAAAGGUAUUGUGUCAAUCAGUAACAUUUAAGAGUUAUUAGAUACAGCUGCCAGUGUUGCGUUAAUGAAACAAUUAAAAACUACGAGAAAUGCUGUGAAUGAAAAGAACUGGGUUCUAUUUGAGGAGUUAAAUUGGAGAUGAAGAUUAGUUACCUCUGAGUACAAACAAAAUGGACCAAAGGUACAUUAAUAGUAUCUUCUAAUCACUCUACUCUUGUAAUAGUUAAUAAAUGAAUCAGCUAA
This is a non-coding RNA of Callithrix jacchus (white-tufted-ear marmoset), 27377 nucleotides long. The record is from RefSeq and is a predicted model, not a curated record. NCBI's taxonomy places the organism in Eukaryota, Metazoa, Chordata, Mammalia, Primates, Cebidae.